This 700-nucleotide ribosomal RNA is filed under the name uncultured Alphaproteobacteria bacterium. RNAcentral describes it as "bacterial SSU rRNA". It matches the Rfam family "Bacterial small subunit ribosomal RNA", at positions 94 to 829 of the family's 1533-position model. Lineage: Bacteria; Pseudomonadati; Pseudomonadota; Alphaproteobacteria. The record is from RNAcentral.
AGCGGCGGACGGGUGAGUAACGCGUGGGAAUGUACCCUUCUCUAAGGAAUAGCCACUGGAAACGGUGAGUAAUACCUUAUACGCCCUUCGGGGGAAAGAUUUAUCGGAGAAGGAUCAGCCCGCGUUGGAUUAGAUAGUUGGUGGGGUAAUGGCCUACCAAGUCUACGAUCCAUAGCUGGUUUGAGAGGAUGAUCAGCCACACUGGGACUGAGACACGGCCCAGACUCCUACGGGAGGCAGCAGUGGGGAAUCUUAGACAAUGGGGGAAACCCUGAUCUAGCCAUGCCGCGUGAGUGAUGAAGGCCUUAGGGUCGUAAAGCUCUUUCGCCAGGGAUGAUAAUGACAGUACCUGGUAAAGAAACCCCGGCUAACUCCGUGCCAGCAGCCGCGGUAAUACGGAGGGGGUUAGCGUUGUUCGGAAUUACUGGCCGUAAAGCGCACGUAGGCGGACUAGUCAGUCAGAGGUGAAAUCCCAGGGCUCAACCCUGGAACUGCCUUUGAUACUGCUAGUCUUGAGUUCGAGAGAGGUGAGUGGAAUUCCGAGUGUAGAGGUGUAAUUCGUAGAUAUUCGGAGGAACACCAGUGGCGAAGGCGGCUCACUGGCUCGAUACUGACGCUGAGGUGCGAAAGUGUGGGGAGCAAACAGGAUUAGAUACCCUGGUAGUCCACACCGUAAACGAUGAAUGCCAGUCGUCGGGCA